CAGCCGCCGCGGUAAUACCGGCGGCCCGAGUGGCGGUCACUAUUAUUUGGCUUAAAGCGUCCGUAGCCGGGGUGGGAAGUCCUCCGGGAAAUCUGGCCGCUUAACGGUCAGAAUGCCGGAGGAUACUCCCAGCCUAGGGAGCGGGAGAGGCCGAGGGGAUUCCCGGAGUAGGGGGGAAAUCCUAUAAUCCCGGGAGGACCACCUGUGGCGAAGGCGCUCGGCUGGAACGCGUCCGACGGUGAGGGACGAAGGCCAGGGGAGCAAACCGGAUUAGAUACCCGGGUAGUCCUGGCUGUAAACGAUGCGGACUUUGUGUCGGACAAGCUAUGAGCUUGUCCGGUGCCGGAGGGAAACCGUUAAGUCCGCCGCCUGGGGAGUACGGCCGCAAGGCUGAAACUUAAAGGAAUUGGCGGG
This 414-nucleotide ribosomal RNA is filed under the name uncultured microorganism. Its description in RNAcentral is "bacterial SSU rRNA". It matches the Rfam family "Archaeal small subunit ribosomal RNA", at positions 459 to 872 of the family's 1478-position model. The record is from RNAcentral.